UGGCGAACGGGUGAGUAACACGUGAGUAACCUGCCCUUGACUCUGGGAUAAGCCUGGGAAACUGGGUCUAAUACCGGAUAUGACCGUCUGACGCAUGUCAGGUGGUGGAAAGCUUUUGUGGUUUUGGAUGGACUCGCGGCCUAUCAGCUUGUUGGUGGGGUAAUGGCCUACCAAGGCGACGACGGGUAGCCGGCCUGAGAGGGUGACCGGCCACACUGGGACUGAGACACGGCCCAGACUCCUACGGGAGGCAGCAGUGGGGAAUAUUGCACAAUGGGCGCAAGCCUGAUGCAGCGACGCCGCGUGAGGGAUGACGGCCUUCGGGUUGUAAACCUCUUUCAGUAGGGAAGAAGCGAAAGUGACGGUACCUGCAGAAGAAGCGCCGGCUAACUACGUGCCAGCAGCCGCGGUAAUACGUAGGGCGCAAGCGUUAUCCGGAAUUAUUGGGCGUAAAGAGCUCGUAGGCGGUUUGUCGCGUCUGCUGUGAAAGACCGGGGCUCAACUCCGGUUCUGCAGUGGGUACGGGCAGACUAGAGUGAUGUAGGGGAGACUGGAAUUCCUGGUGUAGCGGUGAAAUGCGCAGAUAUCAGGAGGAACACCGAUGGCGAAGGCAGGUCUCUGGGCAUUAACUGACGCUGAGGAGCGAAAGCAUGGGGAGCGAACAGGAUUAGAUACCCUGGUAGUCCAUGCCGUAAACGUUGGGCACUANGUGUGGGGGACAUUCCACGUUUUCCGCGCCGUANCUAACGCAUUAAGUGCCCCGCCUGGGGAGUA
This 774-nucleotide ribosomal RNA is filed under the name Arthrobacter sp. MIDA15. Its description in RNAcentral is "bacterial SSU rRNA". It matches the Rfam family "Bacterial small subunit ribosomal RNA", at positions 96 to 882 of the family's 1533-position model. Lineage: Bacteria; Bacillati; Actinomycetota; Actinomycetes; Micrococcales; Micrococcaceae. The record is from RNAcentral.